Molecule: ribosomal RNA, 253 nt
Filed under: uncultured Helicobacteraceae bacterium
Lineage: Bacteria; Pseudomonadati; Campylobacterota; Epsilonproteobacteria; Campylobacterales; Helicobacteraceae
Description: partial 16S ribosomal RNA
Rfam family: Bacterial small subunit ribosomal RNA
Source: RNAcentral
UACGGAGGGGGCGAGCGUUGUUCGGAGUGACUGGGCGUAAAGAGCACGUAGGCGGUGUUGUAAGUCAGAUGUGAAAUCCUAUGGCUUAACCAUAGAACUGCAUUUGAAACUGUUAUUCUAGAGUAUGGGAGAGGUAGGUGGAAUUCUUGGUGUAGGGGUAAAAUCCGUAGAGAUCAAGAGGAAUACUCAUUGCGAAGGCGACCUGCUAGAACAUAACUGACGCUGAUGCGCGAAAGCGUGGGGAGCAAACAGG